CUUCCAUAGCUGUACGCAUAUCUUGAGGCAUGGCUUUGUAAUGUGUGAACGCAUCGACUCCUCGCGUCUCGAGAGGCAAUCACACCCAUUUCAUCAACUGAAGUGCUCGCGCAGCAUACGAAACCGCGCGGCUGUGAUUUAUCACCUCACUCGUGCAAAGCUGCACAUAAAAGUGCCACAGGAUGUGCUGUUCUCUGCCUCUUUGUCGUACGCUCUCAACAUUAGUCGCAUGAGCGCAAAAUGUCCGACUUUAGGUCAGCUGCGGCCGGUCUCAAAUGAAACGGAUAUCGUCGCUGUCGAAAUGCUUAUUUUUGAGUUCGUGAGGCCGCACGUAGUACUGAUCGAAGGCUGCCUGCGACUGGAGCUUAAGAGGCUUGUGUUGCAUCGGCCACUGCCUCUCAAGAUUCGGGAGUGCGUCGGACGCGUCGCUAUCGCAUUGUCUGACACACUGUAUGCGUGCCACUACUGUUUGUUUCCGGAAGCUGCUGCUCGGGCGUGCUUGCUGAAUGCGUGCGAGCGUCUAAGUGUUGAUGUUGACUCUGCAACUCUUCCGGACGAAUUCAGGACACCACAGGUGACCGAAAUACGUGCCUUUUUUUCGACGCCCGAAGCGGAGAGGACGUGACGUACUUUUUUCCCUCCUCUCGUGCCCUGCAAGGAAAAAGUGGUGAUGACUCGCUCAAAUGACGAGUAAC
RNAcentral lists this unclassified non-coding RNA (695 nucleotides) under Leishmania donovani. RNAcentral describes it as "gene:LdHU3.36.8760(CDS-product:hypothetical_prote in_conserved)". The record is from RNAcentral. Lineage: Eukaryota; Euglenozoa; Kinetoplastea; Trypanosomatida; Trypanosomatidae.